UACAGAGGUCUCAAGCGUUGUUCGGAUUCAUUGGGCGUAAAGGGUGCGUAGGCGGCGCGGUAAGUCGGGUGUGAAAUCUCGGAGCUUAACUCCGAAACUGCAUUCGAUACUGCCGUGCUUGAGGACUGGAGAGGAGACUGGAAUUUACGGUGUAGCGGUGAAAUGCGUAGAUAUCGUAAGGAAGACCAGUGGCGAAGGCGGGUCUCUGGACAGUUCCUGACGCUGAGGCACGAAGGCCAGGGGAGCAAACGG
RNAcentral lists this ribosomal RNA (252 nucleotides) under uncultured bacterium. RNAcentral describes it as "partial 16S ribosomal RNA". It matches the Rfam family "Bacterial small subunit ribosomal RNA", at positions 524 to 775 of the family's 1533-position model. The record is from RNAcentral.